This is a long non-coding RNA of Physeter macrocephalus (sperm whale), 4658 nucleotides long. RefSeq lists it as uncharacterized. Lineage: Eukaryota; Metazoa; Chordata; Mammalia; Artiodactyla; Physeteridae. The record is from RefSeq and is a predicted model, not a curated record. The transcript has 6 exons.
UCAUCAAGUGCGAGGACGUUAGAACCCUGCCAAAGCGUCUGAGCCUCCGAGGUUGUUAAUUAAUUCAUCAGGAACGGAGAAGGCAGCCGCUGCCCGGCGCCGUGUGUCGGCGGGAGCAGAGCAGACGCAAAGCGACCCUGCCGAGGAGGGACCCAGAUCAAGGGGCUCCGCUGCGCGCGGCAGGGACGGAGAAGCGUCUGUGCGAAGAGCCGGGGCCGCUGAGCCUCGCUCGCCGGGCUUCUCGGGGGAGGCAGAGCUGACAGGCGCGCGGGGAGCGCCGGGCCGGUGGCGCUGGGCGGCGGCGCUUCGGCAGCAGAAAACUAACUGGUGGAAGCAGGCCAGCGCUGUUGUCAUCAGCGCAGCGAACAGAGCCCCCAGGCGGGGAGGGUCCGGCGGCCCCCCUGUAGCCGCUGCUACAGUUGUUCUGGACAGAGAGGACGCUGCUAAAGGAGCAGGGAGGGGCCUGCUGGUGCGGCAAGAGGCGGCAGGAGUUGCUAGUUUGUCUUGUUGUUGUUGUUGUUGUUUGUUUGUUUGUUUUUGCGGUACGCGGGCCUCCCUCUGCUGCGGCCCCUCCCGUUGCGGAGCGCAGGCUCCGGACGCGCAGGCGCAGUGGCCACGGCUCACGGGCCCAGCCGCUCCGCGGCACGUGGGAUCCUCCCGGACCGGGGCGCGAACCCGGUUCCCCCGCAUCGGCAGGCGGACUCUCAACCACUGCGCCGCCAGGGAAGCCCUUUAUUGUAUCUUUGUAACCGAGCCGCCUACCAACAGACGACGUUCUCUGAUAAGUAUGAGAGAGAGUAUUAGAUGCUUCGCUAACAGAAAACUGUCUUUGGAUGAUACUGCUUCUUGGUGAAUAAGUGUACACAAAUAAGGUGAAGGACGCAUGAACCAUUUACAAGAGGAAGAACUGGAAUUGGCUUUCUGUAACGAUGUUUUACAAAAUGUCUCCGUUUGCCUUCACCUCAUCGCCCCUAUGUUAGGUGACAAUAUGUCUCUUUACCUGCAGAGCUGAGCACCACCUUCUGAACCACCGUGACCAUCAAGGGCCCACGCCCCGCGAAGGCUGCCUUGCACUCGUCCUUCUACUUUUAACUUCUCUGCUUUUUUAACUCGCUCUGGAGGCCAGAAGUUCAAACCGAGGUGUCAGCACAGCCGGGAUCCUCCAGAAGCUCCGGGGGAGAAGCGUCCCUGGAUUCUUGCAGCUUCGGUGCUAAGCCUUAGCUUUACCAAAACAAGAAGACCAGGUUCUUAUAUGCAGAGAGCCCACAGCCUAGUUGGAGAGAUGGACAAAUGAGGAAAUGAUCGCGAACAAAUGUGAGGGUGCUAAAUAUGCAGAGAAAUCGGAGAGAGGCCCUCCCCUGGGGUCACAUAUCAACUCAGAGCACAGGAAAAACUCAGGAGGCAAACUGGAGACAUCAAAUAUAAAUGACCUUCUGAGAAGUUUUGGUCCCAAAGGAGGAACUAGAAAAAGGAGCGGUGGUUGGUGCAGAAAGCGGGGUCAAAAGAAGAUUUUACUCUUUCUAACGAGAGAAACAACUGCAUGCUUGUGUGCUGUUGGAGACCAUCCAGGAGCGGGAGAAAAUUUGGUGAAACAGGAACAGAGGGAAGAUGGCUGGCGAGCAAGCUCUAGGCACACGUGGAGGAAUGAGCUUUAUAUAAAAACACCAGUAGUUCGUAAAGGCUGAGUUCAUGGGACAAACGCUGGUGAGUUGGAGAUAGAAAAGGGGAAUCUGGACUUUCUCUUCUGACAGCUUGGGCUUUCUCAGUUACAGAGAAAGAAGGUUCUCGACCGGGAGUGGUGAAGGCGGAGGUGUGAGAAGGCCGAGGCAGGGGGCAGGGAGGGUCCUCGCGGGCGCGGCGGAGGGGCUGCGGGCAGCGUGCGGCUCCUGGGGGUCCCCGGGCAGCCUGGCUUCGUGUUCGCCGUCAGCCUCGUUCACGUGCUCUGCUGUAGGUGUGAACUGCACGGAGCUGGAUUCGCUGCUCUUGUAAUGUGCCAAGCGGGAGAAAGCAAGAGCACUGCGGGUGACUUCAUGGGAGUGACUGCAAUGACAGUGGCAUUGAAGCUGACUAAGGAGCAAAAAGAAAAUGAAGAAGAUGAAAGGGCGUGAAAAGUGGUCGGACCACAGGAUUAGCCACUUCGGUGGGUUUUGGAGUCAGAGAACUAAGGAGACGUGCGGAAGCAAAGGAGCUGGUGGUCAAAGAGUUGGGUAAAGGGAAGAGAGGUCACAGGAGGGCUGGUUUAUGAGCGGUGACCCGGCCGGGGUGCUUGAGACACGUGGAGGGUGAGAGCUUCCGAGGACAGAAGUGCAGGAACGGAGAGCCCAGGGGCUGGGAAGAAGUGCCUGUGCGCAGGUGGACAGCCGAGAACUCGGGCGGAUCGGGAAUCAGGCGCACGUGUCUGAGAUAUGCAGGCUUGAGACCGGGUUUCCACAGAUGACGGCCUCGCUGAAGGAUGAGGUUCAACCCAGAGAAGGGAGGACGGAUGAUCUGAGCCACAGCAAGGGGCAAGUAGAAUACCUGUGCCAGCUCCCAGCGGUGGUAGUGGGGCUGCAGGGAAACAAACACAAGCCCUCACGCCUGGAGAGGUUUCUCAGUGGAGGACACUUAUGAGCCGUAAUGCAACCACGAUCCUCAGUGAAACUGUUAACUCUUAUAAACUGGGACCAGGGUCCUAUAGAGUCUGUUUUCCUCGUAGCAGGCAGCACCGUGCUUUGCGCUUGGUAGGAAGUCUUUGUUGAACGGGUUUUUAGUUUUCCUGUGCUAUCACUUUGCCCUGCUGCUCAGGCAAUAACUGGUUACAUUGGAAUCAAGAACAAAAGGUGAAACUCUAGGAUAGGUAGACCUUUCAUUUCACUCUGUUAGAAAUACUCAGUAAGCGCUGGAGAUACAAAAGGAAGUAGCAAACAUGCAUCUGAGGAAUUGACAGUGAACAAUAUGGCGGGAACCAUUAAAAUGGCGAAGCGAGAAGAAACCCCUUGCACAGAAGGACAUCUGAAAAGUGUUGUAGGUGGUAGGUGAGUAGGGCGGAGAUAAAGACUGAUGGAGAAUAAACUCCUCCAUGACAUGCAAGCUAAUUUAGAACUGAAUUACAAUUUUAUGAAUCCCAAGGAUAUUCUUACACGGGGUCAGAUCAAGCAGUGAUUCUGAUGAAUUUGCAAAGGUAAAUGCAGCCAAGAACAAUCCUCUUCAUUUUUGUCUACUGUCCUCCUCCUUACAUAUUCUUACUAAGUGAAUUGAGCAAAUCCAUGUUAUUGUGAAAUAUCAGUGAGAAAUAUUUAAAUACAUGUAAUUACAUUUUUCUUUUUUGGAUCUUCUUGGAAAAUUGGGUGGAGUUUCUAUCCACUCCAAUGCUUUAGAGGGUAGCUUCAGGGGCAGCUGUUAUUGAAUGAUGGAAUGAAGAAGAUGCAAAUACAGAGGCACAAUAAAAAGCCAUUUGUGUAUAAACUUAGGAAAGAAUGAGAAAGUAAAGAAUAUGAUAUUUUUAGCUUGUUUUUCUCCUACUUUGUUUUCUCUAAGUUUUCUUUUUAAUAGGAUGAUCAUUCAUUCCAGAAAUACAAUAUAAUUUUUUGUCUUUGUGGAUUUAAUUGUAACAACUUCAUGCUCUCUAAAGGUUUUCUUUUUUAUAAGGACAUGUGGUGGAUUAAAUAAUGGUCUAAAGAUUUCCAUGUCCUAAUCCCCAGAGCCUGUGAAUGUUACCUUAUAUGGCAAAAGGUCUUUGCAGAUGUGACCUAGGGUAAUCUAAAUUAGAUUAUCAUGAAUUAUCUGGGUGGGUGAUAUAAUCACAGUGGUCUUUAGAAGAGGGAACGGGAGAGUCAGUCAAGGAAGGUGAUGUGAGAACAGGAGCAGAGAUUGGAGGGCGGCAACCUCUGGGCCUGGAAGAGGCAAAGAACAGAGUCUUCCUAGGGUCUCCAGAAGGUGCCAGCCCAGCCAUCACCUUGACUUUAGUCCAGAAGUAUUUAUUUCUGACUUCUGACCCCAAUAACUAUAAUGUGCUGUUAUAGGCAGCUAAAUUUGUGGCAAUUUGUUAAGGAAACUAAUACAGUAUGUAUUACUUUUAAAUCAGAAAAAGUCAUUAAAAUAAAUAAAAGGGUGAAAAGUUUUCUAUUCUUUUAAAGUACAUAAAUUAGGAGUUUGGGAUUAAUAUAUAAAUGCACACUAUUAUGUAUAAAAUAGGCAACUAACAAAGAAUUAGUGUAUAGCACAGGAACUAUACGCAACAUCUUGUAAUAACCUAUGAUGGAAAAGAAUAUGAAAAAGACUAUGUGUGUGUAUAUAUAUAUGUAUAUUAUUUAUAUACAUAUAUAUAUAAAUCACUGCACUGUACACCAGAAACUAACACAAAAUUGUAAGUUAACUACACUUCAAUUUAAAAAUCUAUAAAAAGCAAAGUAGUUUAUAUUAAAGUGCAACAUUUACGGAAAAUCUCUCUACGCGUGUUCGCAUCUGUUGCCACCUUGACCUACAAUUUAAGAUUCACUGAAUAAAAGGAUCAAAGUGUCCAACUUUUUGCUCCCAUACAAAUUGCUAAGCUAUUUAUUUUAAAUAGCUUUCUAAAAUAAUUUCAGUAGGAACAGAUUGUGUCAUUUGGAAAGAGUUUUAUCAUUAAUUAGUUGCUUUUGUAAUUUGUUUUCUAAACUAGAUUUUGCAUGCAAGCAUCA